Molecule: long non-coding RNA, 599 nt
Filed under: Callithrix jacchus (white-tufted-ear marmoset)
Lineage: Eukaryota; Metazoa; Chordata; Mammalia; Primates; Cebidae
Description: lncRNA (ENSCJAG00000077759.1)
Source: RNAcentral
CCGGAAAGAGAACACCUUCCCUCAGUCUCUUUCAGGAUUCAGAAGAGUAUUAAUGGUCACCGAGUGAGACUAUCCUUUUCCAUAUUGUAGCUGACAGUAGAGAGGUUAUCUAUUUUACUACCUAUGACCUAAUAUAUAUCUGCCUGGAGCCUUGGUGGGAAGCUGAAGUCAAGAAGGAGCCAUCACCCUUGGGGGCAGCCACCUCUUUGCAGAACCCUAGGACUCCAGCAAUAGAAGUCAAGCUGGAACUUAAGACUGGGCAUAGCGGCACACACUUGUAAUCCCAGCACUUUGGGAGUUCAAGAAGGGUGGAUCACUUGAACUCAGGAGUUGGAGAGCAGUCUGGGCAACAUAGCAAAACCCCAACUCUACAAAAAGUACAAAAAUUAGCCAGCUGUGGUGAUGGGUGCCUGCAGUCUCAGCUACUCAGGAGGCUGAGAUAGGAAGAUCCACUUGAGCCUGAGAGGUUGCAGUGAGCGGAGAUCAUGUCACUGCAAUCCAGCCUCGGUGACAGAGUGAGACCCUGUCUCAAAAAAUAAUAACAAUAAAAUUAAAUGAAUGUGCACCAACAGUUCUCUAGUCAUUUCAGUAGCAGAAUA